GAGCUCAAAUUUGAAAUCUGGCGUCCUCAGGGCGUCCGAGUUGUAAUCUAUAGAGGCGUUUUCCGUGCCGGACCGUGUCCAAGUUCCUUGGAACAGGAUAUCAAAGAGGGUGACAAUCCCGUACUUGACACGACGACCGGUGCUCUGUGAUACGUCUUCUACGAGUCGAGUUGUUUGGGAAUGCAGCUCAAAAUGGGUGGUGAGUUCCAUCUAAAGCUAAAUAUUGGCGAGAGACCGAUAGCGAACAAGUACCGUGAGGGAAAGAUGAAAAGCACUUUGGAAAGAGAGUUAAACAGUACGUGAAAUUGUUGAAAGGGAAACGAUUGAAGUCAGUCGUGACCGAGAGGCUCAGCCGGUUCUGCCGGUGUAUUCCCCUCGGUCGGGUCAACAUCAGUUUUGUCCGGUGGAUAAGGGCGGUAGGAAGGUGGCACCCUCGGGUGUGUUAUAGCCUGCCGUCGCAUACAUCGGGUGAGACUGAGGAACGCAGCUCGCCUUUAUGGCCGGGGUUCGCCCACGUCCGAGCUUAGGAUGUUGACAUAAUGGCUUUAAACGACCCGUCUUGA
RNAcentral lists this ribosomal RNA (563 nucleotides) under Papiliotrema laurentii. Its description in RNAcentral is "partial large subunit ribosomal RNA". It matches the Rfam family "Eukaryotic large subunit ribosomal RNA", at positions 104 to 657 of the family's 3401-position model. Lineage: Eukaryota; Fungi; Basidiomycota; Tremellomycetes; Tremellales; Rhynchogastremaceae. The record is from RNAcentral.